Long non-coding RNA from Dicentrarchus labrax (European seabass), 4490 nucleotides. RefSeq lists it as uncharacterized. The record is from RefSeq and is a predicted model, not a curated record. Lineage: Eukaryota; Metazoa; Chordata; Actinopteri; Moronidae. The transcript is spliced from 6 exons.
UCUGAUGGUAUUGCAACACAACAUAAAGCCAAGGCUUCACCUUCAGAACUUCCUUCCUGCUUUGCUACUGAAUGAUCUGAGUAUGGGCCUCCUGCAGGGUUAAGAACUGCACAUUAUCUAAAUAAACCCAUUCGAGCUUGUCGGUGGCGUGAUCCAGAUCCAUGAUGGGCCUCUUCACUGUCAGUAAACUGCUUUUGAUGACUCUUCUGCUCCAACUGACUAAAGAGGAUGAAGAGUGGAAGACACACACAACGACUGAACCUGACAGUUCAGUGCAUUUCGGCGAGUUCUGCCUGCGUCUAUCUGAUGAUUCUCACAGGACCAGCUCUCAAUCAGUUACCCAGAUACCCUCAAAGUCAGCUCACCCAACCAAACAGGCCACCCAACUGCCUGAACAGCCAACCACAGACCUAGCCCAUCAAGACAGCCAGUCAGCCAGAGUCACGUUGAGACCCUUUUUUCUGACAUCAUUUGAACCAGCCCUGGUGCACAGUUGCGUACUGCAGAUUUUAGGCUCUUGUGAAAGUUGUGUAAAUGUGUCUUUUAUGUCCUUCAAGUUAAUGAUGGAUGUCGCUGCCAAGAGAAAGAGAAGAAAUUUCCAAAUGAAAACUCACUAAUUCUUAAGGUUGUGAUGCAGUUCCCCAGUGAAACAUGUAACUCAACCGAAAUCAUUGGGACAGCGAAGGACGGCAGCGAUGUUUGUCUGCAUAUACCCAGCUUUUUAGAAUACUACAUUGAAUUGUCACGGCAGUCGCACUUCAUCAAUCCAUCAAGUCAACUCCAGUUUUUUCUGUGACAGAAAACAACCAAUUCCAUGAAAAAAAAAUCAGAAGUGUCGGCUCAAUGUGAAUCCUGCAACUUCAUAACAAACUUGGACAGUGUUGACCCAAAGACUGUUCAGUCCCUGAAUGUGAAGAUGCAGUCAUUUCCCUGUCCUGUCCGUAUUCAGUAAGGUUCCCAUGACUAUAUUUCACAAAUUAGAGUUUUAUGAAGGUGUUCUACUAAUUCAUUCUGUCCUUAUUUUCUUAUUUUUAACCAAAAUGUUUUAUGAUGUUAAAGAAGAAUGGUGGAUGACCGUGAUUGACUGAUAUCUAUAACCUGAAAACUCAAAUUCAAAUUCACAUUGGCCUUAAUUUGUCUGUAUAACUGUGGUAUCAUCAUGUAAAGAGAAUUAAAUAAUGUCUCAUCCUGAAAAAUGACUCAGAUUUCUGUUUGGACACAAACCAGUUCGAUACAUUGCUGAAGAAACUGGAAACCCCCCCUCCCCAUGAAGAUCAUAUUGACCAGACUCUGACAAACAGUUUGUAAAAAUGUCCUUUUUGCAUUUGUUUGGAUGUUAUUUCUACAAUGAGAGACUUAAAGACUUGUCCAACCAACUAUACAAAAGUAUGCCCUGAAGCGUUUCUGUAAACAGCUUUCUAAUAAAUAUAGUAACUUCUGAUCAACCCAUAUCAAUUUCAGGGAUUAGCCACACCCACUGCAGGUUUACAUACUACCCUCGUCUAGUUUAAGCCACCCCCGAUUAUGGACAUAGAUAAUUUAGUUGUUUAAACAGAUACAGAUAAUGGUGUAAAAAACUGAACUUGAAAUUAGUAAAUAUUUGAUUUUCUUUUAUUCAACUAAUUGAUUAAUCAACGAGUCGUACCAGCUCUAAACCACAUAUAUACUGUACAUCUACAUUGUGAAAGUUGUCUUCUAUCUCCCUCAAGUCACAGAUGGAUGUCGCUGCCAAGAGAAAGAGGAGAAAUCACCAAAUCCUUGUAAUUAUGAAGGUUUCAUCAUAAUUACAAGGAUUUGGCCCCCCAGUGAAACAUGCAACUGAACUGAAUUCAUGUAAGUGAAUGUAUUUUUUGAAACUCUUAUUACAAACUAAAUUGACCCAAACUCUUGUUUUCCAGCGAGACACUGACGGGUGGGAAGGAGGUGUGUGUGACUGCAGCUAGCCUCUUAGCACACUUUGACUUUGCCUCACCGUAAGUUAAUAAUAUCUGUUACACACAUGCACAAAGUUAGAACUGUCAGUUAUUUUUGCAUAAUAUCAAAUGUGAAUUUGAGUUCAAAAUAUUUAACAAAAAACACUUCGACAGUCAUUUACACAAUAACUACGAAAAGUCGGAAUGCGAGUAGCUCAUUAUAACUGUUGAUUUCAACCCAUUCAACUAAUUCAGUCGAAUUUUCUCCAAAAAAGAUUGCUGUAACACACCUUAUAAAACCUUAUAUUUAGCCUGAAACAUAUCAAAUUAUAAAACAUCUGAUUUCACUAGUGGUAGAUAGCCAUGCAGAUAAAGUAGUUUUAUUAUAUUUGGUUUUAAGUUUUUUAUUUGGUUUGAGUUGACUCAGCAGGAACUCAAGUUCUUUCUGUUAUUUCCCUCCAGUCUCCCCAAAUUGAAACAUUUUCAACUUGCAUGGACAUGUCCUUGCAUCAAUUUGCAGCACCCUGGGUAAAAAGUGGCUUUAUGUUCUGUCUGUCUACAUUGCAAGAAGAUAAAGACCAUUGAUGACCAUUGGAAGUGGGGCGUAAAUGUGAAGUAAAUGUGCUUUGUUAAUGCCCACUACUGACAUCUGGACAAAUAAAACCAACUGCAUGCAUGGAGCCCCUGUAGCACGGAGAUCAUCAUAUCAUUCUGUCUUGUGUUACUUUACAAAAAACUGGUUCACUUUGAACCGGCUUGUUCACGACUGACACAUCACUACUCAGUACUGUGAACAUUGUAUGGUCGGCUAAAACCAGAAUAUCUGCAUGGUUGUGAACCACAGGAAGGAGGAGAGAAUCGAUCUGACCCUUUUAAAAAAUAUAAAAUGAAGAAAGGCAGAUGUACUACUUAAUAUAAUCACACUUUUUCUGUUUCUGUGACUCAGAUGUUAACCAUUUCCUUCCUGAUAACCUGGUGGAUGUGUUCUGAAUGUAACAUCAGUAAUCAUUUCCUGUAAGUUACCUUGUUGAUAAUACUGCAUUACUCAACCUACCCCCAGCCUCUGGACUGAGACUGAGCCUAAAUCCGAUCGAGAGUAAGUUUUUGCCUGGAUACACCAACAUCACAUUUUGAAAAAAUACAUUAAUUCCUAAAGUAUGCUAAUUAUGAUUUCUUAUGUCAGAUCAGUCCCUGUGUCACACACACUACGACCUCUGUCAGUUUCGCACUUUCAAUCUGUCCAUUAUUUAUCAUAAAUACAACUAUAUAGUCCACACAGUGCCAUCAGUUGAGUACUGCAUGUGUGUGCCAGAGGGUGGGGGUGAAGCAUUCCUCAUUAAAAACAAAUAAAAACUGCAUACACAUAUACUUGGAAACAUCAUAGAUUAUUCACAGAUUUUUUGAGGGAGUCUUGGUAAUACAAUUACUGGAAUUCUUCUGGAAAAAGUCUAAUAACUUCAGUUGAGAUUAACUACUGGGAUCAAAAUGAACUGACACCUUAAUGAAGUGACUGUAUAUAUAAUUUACUAACUCUAAAAUGUCUAUUUUGUGUUAAGUUACUGUUUAAAUGUUUGUCUUGUAUGUAGUCAUAAGGCCCUGCGCAGUCUGUGGUGGGUUCCUGGGCAACUUUGACCCAAAGGAUGUGCUGUCCCUGGAGAUGGAUGAGCCAUCAUUUCACUGUCCUAACCUCACUUUUGUCACCCUGAAAAAUGGAGAGCGAUUUUGUGUGGACUUGUCCAACCCGGAGAUCAGGACUGUGCUGGAGAAGUUGGAAAUUCAAGCCUCCUGAGGAAAAAGCCUUAAAUGUGAAAGUUAAUGUUCCUUUGAUCCAGUGGGGGAGGAACUACAGGGUGGGGUACUUCUGGAGAACCAGGGUGUGGUGUGGGGGUGAUGCUAUCCAAUUUAUUUGUGAGGUUAUUGUUUUCCUUCAUGUUUAGAUACAUAAAUGUAUUCUCUUUUUUAAUAUUACAGUGAUAGACAAGGUAUGAAAAAAUAUUUCUCAUGUAGGUGGAAGGAAUUUAUUUGUUUUCAAAUAUUUUGUAUUUUUCUUAAAAUCAAUGUUAUUAUAAGCAAUUAAAUAUAAACUAUGAUAUUUAAUACAUUAAAUGUUCCAUCCAAUUAAAGGUCCAGUGUGUAACAUUUAGGAGGAUCGUCUGUCAGAAAUGGAGUAUUAUAUUCAUAGACAAGUUUCAUUUUCAAGUAGCUUCAUUCUGAUCCAGAAAGCACAAGAUCAAUAUAACAGAAUCUAGAUUUGCAGUCUUUGGAUAGGCAUCCAGCUGUUAAAGUAAUAAAACAUUUAAUUGGCAAAGCUGUGAAAGUGUUGGGAAGUGUAAAUCAGUUUAUAUAUUAUUCAUAUUUACUUAUCUGGAUUAUUGUUUAAAACGUUUAGUAGUUUAGUUUCCAUUAGUUUUUUUUUUAAUUAUUAUUAUUAUAUCUGAAGUAUUUCUCAGGGCCAAGAAUGGACUCACAGUCAUGUAGACAUCCCAGUCUCUAUAAACAUAUGCACCAAUGCCUCCUCAUGCUUGUUGUAUUGCCAAAUUUGACCAAAAUAAAAGACUAAAACAAAAGUUUAUUUUA